Molecule: ribosomal RNA, 253 nt
Filed under: uncultured bacterium
Lineage: Bacteria
Description: partial 16S ribosomal RNA
Rfam family: Bacterial small subunit ribosomal RNA
Source: RNAcentral
UACGGGGGGUGCGAGCGUUGUCCGGAAUCACUGGGCGUAAAGGGCGCGUAGGUGGUUUGAUAAGGGUGUGGUGAAAGUCCGGGGCUCAACCCCGGAUCUGCCGUGCCGACUGUCAAACUCGAGGACUGUAGAGGCAGACGGAAUUCCGGGUGUAGCGGUGGAAUGCGUAGAGACCCGGAGGAAGACCGGUGGCGAAGGCGGUCUGCUGGGCAGUUUCUGACACUGAGGCGCGACAGCGUGGGGAGCAAACAGG